This 253-nucleotide ribosomal RNA is filed under the name uncultured bacterium. Its description in RNAcentral is "partial 16S ribosomal RNA". It matches the Rfam family "Bacterial small subunit ribosomal RNA", at positions 524 to 776 of the family's 1533-position model. The record is from RNAcentral.
UACAGAGGUCCCAAGCGUUGUUCGGAUUCACUGGGCGUAAAGGGUGCGUAGGCGGUCGGGUAAGUCUGGCGUGAAAUCUCCAAGCCUAACUUGGAAACUGUGUUGGAUACUAUCCGGCUCGAGGAAUGGAGGGGAGACUGGAAUACUUGGUGUAGCAGUGAAAUGCGUAGAUAUCAAGUGGAACACCAGUGGCGAAGGCGAGUCUCUGGACAUUUCCUGACGCUGAGGCACGAAAGCCAGGGGAGCAAACGGG